Non-coding RNA from Branchiostoma floridae (Florida lancelet), 120 nucleotides. Lineage: Eukaryota; Metazoa; Chordata; Leptocardii; Amphioxiformes; Branchiostomatidae. The record is from Rfam.
UGUUGCAGAUAAUGUGGAAAACUUUAUACACCUGAUCCCUUGAUCUCGGAUGUUAAGCAACGUGCAGUUCGGUCAGUUCUUGGAUGGGAGACCACCAAGGAUGAACAGAUGCUGCAGCCU